UGAGAUGAUAUAGGAUGUUCACUCUCCUUAUUAGGAGUGACUGAUCCUUUAUUAAUCACUCACAACCUCCAUGUACACUUCACCACAUCCAGACACCCGAUACAAGAAUCAAAAAAUUAAGUUAGGAAGUAAACUAAAAUAUGGAUUCAUGUACAUAAGGUACUAUAGCAAUCUCAAGUCAAAGAAUCACUUAUACAACUCCCACUAGAGAAUCAUCAGCUG
This 222-nucleotide long non-coding RNA is filed under the name Elaeis guineensis (African oil palm). RNAcentral describes it as "long non-coding RNA (EGUI_LNC053371)". The record is from RNAcentral. Lineage: Eukaryota; Viridiplantae; Streptophyta; Magnoliopsida; Arecales; Arecaceae.